RNAcentral lists this ribosomal RNA (403 nucleotides) under Verrucomicrobiota bacterium. RNAcentral describes it as "Verrucomicrobia bacterium partial 16S ribosomal RNA". It matches the Rfam family "Bacterial small subunit ribosomal RNA", at positions 355 to 776 of the family's 1533-position model. The record is from RNAcentral. Lineage: Bacteria; Pseudomonadati; Verrucomicrobiota.
UGGGGAAUAUUGCACAAUGGGGGAAACCCUGAUGCAGCGACGCCGCGUGAGCGAAGAAGGCCUUCGGGUCGUAAAGCUCUUUUAUAUGGGAAGAUAAUGACGGUACCAUAAGAAAAAGCCCCGGCUAACUACGUGCCGGCAGCCGCGGUAAUACGUAGGGGGCUAGCGUUGUCCGGAAUCACUGGGCGUAAAGGGUUCGCAGGCGGAAAUGCAAGUCAGGUGUAAAAGGCAGUAGCUUAACUACUGUAAGCAUUUGAAACUGCAUAUCUUGAGAAGAGUAGAGGUAAGUGGAAUUUUUAGUGUAGCGGUGAAAUGCGUAGAUAUUAAAAAGAAUACCGGUGGCGAAGGCGACUUACUGGGCUCAUUCUGACGCUGAGGAACGAAAGCGGGGGUAGCAAACAGG